This 270-nucleotide ribosomal RNA is filed under the name uncultured prokaryote. RNAcentral describes it as "partial 16S ribosomal RNA". It matches the Rfam family "Bacterial small subunit ribosomal RNA", at positions 524 to 794 of the family's 1533-position model. The record is from RNAcentral.
UACGGUAGGGGCUAGCGUUAUCCGGAAUUACUGGGCGUAAAGGGUGCGUAGGUGGUUUCUUAAGUCAGAGGUGAAAGGCUACGGCUCAACCGUAGUAAGCCUUUGAAACUGAGAAACUUGAGUGCAGGAGAGGAGAGUGGAAUUCCUAGUGUAGCGGUGAAAUGCAUAGAUAUCACGAGGAAUUCCGAUUGCGCAGGCAGCUUACUAAACUACUACUGACGCUCAGGCACGAAGGCGUGGGGAUCAAACAGGAUUAGAUACCCCUGUAGU